Molecule: ribosomal RNA, 496 nt
Filed under: uncultured bacterium
Lineage: Bacteria
Description: partial 16S ribosomal RNA
Rfam family: Bacterial small subunit ribosomal RNA
Source: RNAcentral
GAUGAACGCUGGCGGCGUGCCUAAUACAUGCCAGUCGAGCGAACGGACGAGAAGCUUGCUUCUCUGAUGUUAGCGGCGGACGGGUGAGUAACACGUGGAUAACCUACCUAUAAGACUGGGAUAACUUCGGGAAACCGGAGCUAAUACCGGAUAAUAUUUUGAACCGCAUGGUUCAAAAGUGAAAGACGGUCUUGCUGUCACUUAUAGAUGGAUCCGCGCUGCAUUAGCUAGUUGGUAAGGUAACGGCUUACCAAGGCAACGAUGCAUAGCCGACCUGAGAGGGUGAUCGGCCACACUGGAACUGAGACACGGUCCAGACUCCUACGGGAGGCAGCAGUAGGGAAUCUUCCGCAAUGGGCGAAAGCCUGACGGAGCAACGCCGCGUGAGUGAUGAAGGUCCUCGGAUCGUAAAACUCUGUUAUUAGGGAAGAACAUAUGUGUAAGUAACUGUGCACAUCUUGACGGUACCUAAUCAGAAAGCCACGGCUAACUACGU